CCAACGGCCCUAUUUUGGGCCACAAUUAUUAUAUAAUCCAAAAAAG
Caenorhabditis brenneri is the source of this 46-nucleotide non-coding RNA. NCBI's taxonomy places the organism in Eukaryota, Metazoa, Nematoda, Chromadorea, Rhabditida, Rhabditidae. The record is from Rfam.